Long non-coding RNA from Homo sapiens (human), 797 nucleotides. Ensembl annotates it as long intergenic non-protein coding RNA 1278. Lineage: Eukaryota; Metazoa; Chordata; Mammalia; Primates; Hominidae. The record is from Ensembl.
GGGGACGCUAGGUUCCGGAACCUGACCUGAGCUGGGGCCUGUGCUUCCAGCGGGUGGUGGGGGGCCUGGUGUGCUGGCAUCAAGUAAGCCGACUACCUCGGCAAAGGCUUAGGGACAAGAGACCAGCAGCCUGAACUGGCUGGGGCAUCCGGAAGGCUUAGAUCUUGUGGCCAAGAGUUCAGACCGUGGCGAAGUGGAGAGUGACAUGCAGUUGGAUGGCGGUGACUGCGUGCAUUCCACAAUCACGGGCUACUUCAAUUCUGCCUGCUGAGCUGAUUUAAUAAUCUGGAAGAGGAUUAUUCUCCCCCAUCUGGAAGAGGAUUAUUCUCUAUAAUCCCAGUUAGAGACACAAUGACAUAAACAUCGCUAUGAUGUCAGAAGUGGGAUCCAAAGUAGAGCUUAUAAUGACACCUAGGAGUGCUGAGUGACCAAGCAAGGUACCCACCAGGCCGAUUAUGUCCAUUGUUCUCUUGGAGCAGCUGGUCAUCAUGGGAAAGGGUGCCACACUGGGAAUGCAAGCUGUCCUUGCUUCUGAACCAAGACUACUAUUGUGCCAGGAAGAGGGUGGGAAAAGAAGCCAAUAAAACUUUUCUUUUGAGUGAUUUGCAGCUUUUAACAAACUGAACCUGCUUAUUUCUGUGAACCAACCAGUGAUCUCUUAUGGCUGUUCAAAAGUAACAAGAGAGAUAUCACCUUUUGUCAUAACUCAAGUCUUAUGAAUGGCCCUCACCAUAAUGAUGCUUUUUGACUGAGCUCUUCUCUAACCUGAAUGCAAGAGGUUAGGCAUGAAUAUCAUC